GUAUAUGCAUAAAAGGUUUGUUGGUGUUUGCUUCCAUACACGUGCACUCAACGGUACUAUCAAGUUUUGUAUUUAAAAAAAAGCUCGGCAGUACCAAGUUGCCUUAUAUUUUGACGUUACAUUGUUUUGUCUCAUAGUUUCCACAGUACGUAAUUGGUGUCAUGGGUCCCACCAGUAUUACUCUUCACUUUACCCUUUCUGCAGUCUUCUGGACUUCUCCGUUCUUCUUUCCUCACACAAGUUGCUCUCUUGAUUCACUGCAUUCAGGAUGCUCGUCCUAACCUGAAGCCACCCCCGCACCUGGUGCUUUGACGGGGUGACCAUCGACGGCGAUUGAGGGUUAGCAGGGCCCAAGGAUCUACUACACCAGAGUGUAGGCAAGAUCAUCGAUCUGGACGCUGCCGUUGAUGCUGUCGUCCGUGUCGUUGAUUUGGUCUUGGAUUUCAUCUCCCGCAGGCCUGCAAAGGCAACAUUGUUCCAAAUUGAGCUGCAGGUGAUAUCAUAUUUGUGACAUGAAGAGUAAGAGAGCCACAUGUCAAUCUUAAGGAGGUGUUUUUUGGGAAUGUUUAUAUGUUCCAAUCAUGCCAUGUAUCUUCAUCUCCUGUUGGGUAUGCCUCCUUCGAUUUUCUUCAAUUCUUAAAAAUAAAUCAGUGUUUAUUUCUUUAUGGGCGUUGUUAGUGUUGAAUGAGGUAGAUGCUAAAGAAGACACAAGCGAGUGUAACUAAAAAUAAUUUAAGUAUAUGUCUGAGUACACAUGAUAACUUCAAUCCGUACUCUCGUGGAGCACAAAAUAAACAUAAAUGUUUAUCAAUGCCAAUUACUACUAAGUAUAGAGUGUGUAUAGUAUAUUCUUCAAUUCUUGCAGCUAUUGGACGUAUGUAAGCACUUGCUGCUGUAUAAUGCCUAGCCCAUGUAUCUCGCUGGUUCUCUCCUAAUCCUCUUAGGUCUAUCAUACAAGGUUGGCUGCAUGUCUUCAGAUGAUAUUUUCCUCCUCUUUAUGCAAUCGGUCCUUUCCUUCUUUGUUCUGCUUCUAGUUUUGGCGUUCCAUUCUUCAUUACGGUCAUCUGUGCUGGUACAGUUGUUGUCGGCGUGACUAUUGUUGUCUCGCUGCAUAAAUGCAAGAACAAUGUUAUUAUUGAAACAUUCAUAAAUUUCCAUAAAUGCAUGGUAGAUAUUAAGCUUGUAUAUCAUCGCCAUAUUUAACAAUGUAUUAUGGAGUACAUAUAUAAGAUCAAAUGCAUACAAAAUUAGACCACAGUGGGAAAUGACCGAUACACUGUCAUGGAUUAUUAUUUUUAGUAUAUAUAGAUGAGCGUAAGUAAUUUGAAACCUCAUUAUCGAAUAGAUUGCUCUCUGUAAGAACUUUUUUUUAUUUCGCAAAGCCUUUCUUUUCAAAUCCUGUUUACAUCUCUUAUGUUUGGCCUCUCCUUUUAUCUUCGGCGAAACAGUUUUUGGCUCUUCCUGUGUGUUUUGUGAUGUCAUAAAUAAAUAGGCUGUAAACAAUUAUCAAUGCAUAUACAGGAAGAUAAUUUUUUUUCCAUUUGUUACCUCGUCAUCAGGAGCAUCGAUUUUAACAAUUGGUUUUCUGCUAUUUCUGGAAGCAAACAUUGUCACAUCUUUUUCAUAUAUUUUGCUAGACUUCUGUCUCUUUGUCCUCCUUUGUUGCUUUUUGUUAGAUGAUUUAGAGGUUUCCUUUCAGCACAUAUCCUCCUUCUCAUCAUUUCUUGCAUUCUUGGAGGAGUGGUUGACCUAUAAAAAUAUUUUUUUAAUACUUUAAAACAAAAAUUGCACACUCGUGACAGCAAAACCAUUAAUUAGUGGCAAUACCUUGUUAUCGGACUUCUGCAUAGCAAAAUUUGAAGAACCUUGUGUGUCUUGCCUUUCCAGUAUACCCUAUAAAGAAUGUACUCGCAUAAUAAUUUUAUAAACCAUUUAAAAUACUGAAAUGUGCAUGUGCAUACCUCUUCAACUAUUUCAUUUGAAUAUUCCAUCUCAAGUCUGUCAUCAACUUCAAAAGUGAAGCUCACUUUAAAAUUUUCCAUACACUCUUAUAGAUUCCUUGAAUUUAACUUAAGUCGGAAUAUGAGUGUUCUGCCAUAAAGGUCUUAAAUAAUAUCUGGUACUAUGUUGUUGAAUCCCUCCUGCUCUAAUAGGGUUGAUGCAGAUAUGUUGCCCAAAAGACUCUUUGCUACCUCAUUAAACAUAACGAAAGUUGUUGUUGUCGUGUCCUCGGGUACCUUCAAGUUUAAUUAGGUACCUAAUAUGAUAGUGUCAGUUAUUACUGGUCUAUUAUUAAAAGAAAUGGCACCAAAGACAAUCUAGUGCAUUAACAUGCUCACCUUAUGUUGGGAUUUUCAGAUACUUAAUGACAGGAAGUGCACAUAUAGUUAUGGUGUUUCUGUUAUAAUAUCAUCAAUUGUUGCUUUUGUUCUGCAUACAAAUUCCUAUUAAAGAUUAAACAUAUGAGUUUACAUAAUAAUGUAAAAUAGAGAAGGUAUAAGAUUUUUAUGAUCAAGGUUAGAGGGAAACCUUUCUUUUAACAUCAACAUAUCAUAGUUCUAUAAUUUCCCUCAAUGUUUUUUUUAUUGUAGAACAUUUGCUCUUCGAUCAUUCCUUGGGUGCUUUCGUCAAUUCCAACCAUUGUUGGAAUAACAUCGCUUUCAAAAUGCCUAUAAUACAUUACAAUAUGAGCACAUAAACUUGUAACUUCAAAAACAUACAUAAUAGCAUUAUUAUAUACAUACCUCUCAAUAAUUUGGUCUGUCUCUAGAAUUUCAGGGUCCAGGAAGACUUUAGAUGCAUUUGUCGUGCGUAGUGAUAGCCCUGGUAAUAAAUUGUCAGUAAUUUGGAUUCAGGUUUACACAUAGAGAUUAUAGUUCUCACCAUUGAAUUUUCUGUCCAAAUUUGAAGUGACAAUCACUAUUGUUUAUUUGUUUAAAAGCUUUUCAUUCACCAUAUUUGCAAAUAUCCCCCCAUAGCGUGAUUCUGAUUAUCUCACCACUUCAUGCAUUUAACCAUGAAAAAGUGAUAUAUAAAGAUCAUAUAUGCAAUUCAAAAAUAUCUAUAGAAUAUAAUCACUUACUCUGGUGAAAGGACUUCAAUCUCACGGACGUUUGAAGUUUGCGUCAUGCCCGUCCCUUUAUUUAUUUUUGCACUUGCUAUAUUGGCUUCAUUGUAGUAAGCAAUCGAAUGACAUCUGCACAUAAUCAUACUUAAAAAUCUAGUUCACCGGUGCUUGUUCUUCGAUAUGGAUUUUAAUUGUACCUGAGCACUAUUUAUCAAUAAUCACCCUACUAUCCAAGGUAUCACCAUAAGCAAAUUCAAAGUGGUAGUCCGAAAACUUGGAUUUUCCUUCAUCCACUUCCUUCAUCGUUGUAUCAUAGACAAAACUUAUCUUGAGAUUUUUCUUCAAUGGUCGGUAUUUUUCAUACUCCCAAACUUUGAAGGUCUUAAUUUUGUACCUAUUUAAUUUUUGAUUUAAAUUUAUCAACCAGUUUGCUCCAAAUAGAAGCAUGGAUUACAUCACCUUACAUAGAGAGAAAACAUCAGCAAACUUUGGAAAGGGUAAAUUGAAGAAACUUUGGAAAGGGUAAAUUGUAGAAGUUGUAACCUAAAAUCUCGAGGACAACGAACCUAUGAGGUCGUGGGGAAGGUCUUAUAUGGAUGGUUAAGUUUCUCAUGUUUGCACGAUGGAAAAAAAUUGGAUUCUGUGGACACAUAUUCUGUUUGGAGAGAUAUGAUAGUUUCGAUUUCGUUAGGCACAUUAGACCUUUUUUUUGGGAUGGCCUCAUCGCUGAUGGCAUGGUCCAUCCUGUAUGCGUGGAUGGCCCAAUUUGUAUGUUUUUUUCUUCUUAAUGAUGCGUGAUGCAUGUGUGUUUCUGAUCCCUCACGGGAUGGUCCGACCAUUGGGUUUGUGGUUGGGAUCGUGAAAAUCAAACGUGAAGCCGUCAUUGGACGCUAUGGACCCAGAUCAUUUACGAAGAUCGAAUGGUUGGACUUAUCUUUAUUCUGACCCACCUGGUUUACAAAUAUCUAAUGGUUGGAUUUUGUUGUCUCAUGACAUGGACCACGGCAUGGACCCACCUGGUUUACGAAGAUCUAAUGGUUAGACUUUGUUGUCUCACAGAAUUAAAGGCUGGAUCUUUCUAAUUAUUGUGUUUCUUGAUGGACGCUGGAGCACCGGCCGAAGUGAUGUCUAUGGCUCUGGCCAAAAUUGU
Molecule: non-coding RNA, 4217 nt
Organism: Aegilops tauschii subsp. strangulata
Lineage: Eukaryota; Viridiplantae; Streptophyta; Magnoliopsida; Poales; Poaceae
Source: RefSeq, a predicted model, not a curated record